UUAAGAAGGCUAUUGAAGAUAGAAUAACCAAAGAUGGUGUCAUUGGUAUAGGAAUUACUGUGACUACUAUAGGACUCAUUGUUGGUGGGAUUGUAGCAUCGUUGGUCCGAAGAAACUGAUCUUCGACUGCUUAUCAUGCUUUGUAUGAAGCAUGUAUGAGGUUAUUGACCACUCAUUAAAACACCACAAAAAUCCGAGUUUCAACUGAAAAAAGAAGAUGAAUGAAACAUAUUUGCUGGUUUCUUUUCCAUUUCCCUGCCUUUUUCUUCUCUUCGUCUCGUUUAAGGGAGCCAAUGAAUGUUCUAUAGAAUAAUGACAGGCCAAAUGGCUGAGAUUUUGUGAUUAACUGCUCGUUUGGGUAAAGCCUCACAUUAGAAUUACUAGUUACUGUAUGUCAAGUAAAUUUUGCUUCGAUAUUUGUUAUUAUGUGUGAAAAACACAGGUAAACAGUAAUUACCUAGUGAAUCAAAAUACAUGGACUGUAUGAUGUCCUUUUACAUUA
This is a long non-coding RNA of Lycium ferocissimum, 502 nucleotides long. RefSeq lists it as uncharacterized. The transcript has 2 exons. The record is from RefSeq and is a predicted model, not a curated record. NCBI's taxonomy places the organism in Eukaryota, Viridiplantae, Streptophyta, Magnoliopsida, Solanales, Solanaceae.